Molecule: long non-coding RNA, 1625 nt
Organism: Hevea brasiliensis (rubber tree)
Lineage: Eukaryota; Viridiplantae; Streptophyta; Magnoliopsida; Malpighiales; Euphorbiaceae
Exons: 7
Source: RefSeq, a predicted model, not a curated record
UUCUUCAUUGUUUUCUUAUAGUCCUUAAUUUUAUAUAUUUAGUUGAUUUCUUUUUUAUGAUGUUUUAUUUACUUAUUUGAUUUUUCUGAGUUAUUCGAUUAUUGUAUGAUUUUGAUUUGUUGAUGUAGAUUUUAUUUUGGGAUUCUUUUCCUUGAAUUGUUGAUCUUAGUUUGAUUUUGCAUUGUGUUCACUGUAAAACUGCCCAUUUUCCUUCAUGAUAUAUUUUAUUUGUGAAAUCAGUUGAUCUGUAUUGGUUACUGUUAUAUCAAAGCAUAUGUAUGUUUCUUCCACUAUAAACAGCAAAAGAAUAGCCAGUGGAAAACAGCUGAUAUUUAUUGAAUAAUCUUUCCUUGAAGUAUAACAUUACCUUGCAUGUCUAAACAAUUGCCUUAUAGGCUGGCAUUAUCUUUGGACCAGCUGUCCUUAGUUGCAACGAAACAUUCCUGGACUCAGUUUUUUAAGCAAAAGAGAUGUGGGUUCUGAGCAACAUUCUUUGUCUUUCUUAUGGCUGUGAAAACACAUUAAUGCUGCGUAAUUGGCACAAUUGUGCAUUGGCCUCAACUGGUGCUUCCAAUUAAUUAUUUAUAAAUUUUGGAGUUCUAGAGUUAAUUAUAACUGUAAUCUUUGACUUUUUUUUUUUUUUCAAUUGUUAUGAUCCUUUCCUUUUUUAACAUUUUUCUAUUUCUUCUUUAUCAGCUGGUUUCAUUUUUGUAUGCUGAUAAAUUUGAUUGUAUUGAUACUUUGUGCAUCCAGCAACAACAGAACUCCAAUUCUGGCUAAGCCUUGAGCAUCCUCCACCAAGUUAUCUCCGCUGAAGGGCCUGAUGCACUCUAUAGAGGAAUGGGUGCACUCCCAGCAUCAAUCACCUUUCAGAUAACAAGAUGCUUAAGAUCUGAGAGGAAUGUCAGCAAGGUCAAACCUGGUGUUGCUUAUCCUGUUUUAACAUCAAACACUCCCAAGGAGGUUGUGAUGAAUGAAAACACAGAAGAUGGCAUAGAAGGGAAGAAGAACAUGAAAGGAGCAGCAGGUAGUUAAGAUUGAUAUUAAAUUGUUUCAAGUAAUUAUAUUGAUCUUAUUGAUUGCUCUUGCUCAUGAUUUUCUGUGUUUUUGUCAUCUGGAUGUUGCUUCUCUGGGCUUGAAAUUUUUGGCCUGGAACAGUGUAUCUUGGAGCUUAUGAUGAAGAAGAAUCUGCAGCAAGAGCAUAUGAUUUGGCUGCUCUCAUCUACUGGGAACUUCAAAUUCCACAAAUUUUCCAGUAUCUGAGUAUGGGAAAGAAUUUGAAACAAUGAAAAUUCUAACAAAAGAGGAGUACCCGGCCAGUCUAAGAAUGCGCCAUCACAAUGGAAGACGGGAAGCAAGAAGAGGGAGAGUGGAAACUGGAAACAAGUAUCUCUCUCUAGGCACUUACAGAUGUAUGUGCUUAUGUAAUAAGUUCUUGAAGGGAGAUGGAUUGGUGGACACUGAGGAUGUGAUGAUAUUUAUAGCUUGAGUUUAAUAAACUCAUAUCAACUAUAAAUUCAAUUUUCUAAUUUAGUCCGUGUUUUCGUUUUUCCAAACGGCAUAUAAGUUUUUUAUUUAUAAUUUGAACCAUUUGAGAAGUGAAAGAAAAUCAGUAUUCUGGAUUA